GUGACGUCGCGAGAAGUUCACUGAACCUUAUCAUUUAGAGGAAGGAGAAGUCGUAACAAGGUUUCCGUAGGUGAACCUGCGGAAGGAUCAUUGUUGAGACCUGCCCAGCAGAAAGACCCGUGAAC
RNAcentral lists this ribosomal RNA (125 nucleotides) under Ficus hispida. Its description in RNAcentral is "partial 18S ribosomal RNA". The stretch from base 1 to 93 matches the Rfam family "Eukaryotic small subunit ribosomal RNA", at positions 1739 to 1831 of the family's 1831-position model. Lineage: Eukaryota; Viridiplantae; Streptophyta; Magnoliopsida; Rosales; Moraceae. The record is from RNAcentral.